RNAcentral lists this ribosomal RNA (245 nucleotides) under uncultured bacterium. RNAcentral's name for it is "partial 16S ribosomal RNA". It matches the Rfam family "Bacterial small subunit ribosomal RNA", at positions 524 to 768 of the family's 1533-position model. The record is from RNAcentral.
UACGUAGGAUGCAAGCGUUGUCCGGAAUUAUUGGGCGUAAAGAGCGCGCAGGCGGUUUUACAAGUCAGAUGUGAAAGAGGCCGGCUUAACCGGCAAGGGUCAUUUGAAACUGUAAGACUAGAGUACAGCAGAGGAUAGCGGAAUUCCCGGUGUAGUGGUGAAAUGCGUAGAUAUCGGGAGGAACACCAGUGGCGAAGGCGGCUAUCUGGGCUGAAACUGACGCUGAGGCGCGAAGGCUAGGGUAG